CAAUAGCGUAUAUUAAAGUUGUUGCAGUUAAAAAGCUCGUAGUUGAACUUGUGCGUGCCCCUGAUGUCCUUUUUGGUACGUUUGGGGGUGUGCAUCCUUGGGUGGAAUCUGUGUGGCAUUAGGUUGUCGUGCAGGGGAUGCUCAUCGUUUACUGUGAAAAAAUUAGAGUGUUCAAAGCAGGCUUAUGCCGUUGAAUAUAUUAGCAUGGAAUAAUAAGAUAGGACCUCGGUACUAUUUUGUUGGUUUGCGCACUGAGGUAAUGAUUAACAGGGACAGUUGGGGGUAUUCGUAUUCCAUUGUCAGAGGUGAAAUUCUUGGAUUUCUGGAAGACGAACUACUGCGAAAGCAUUUACCAAGGAUGUUUNCAUUAA
RNAcentral lists this ribosomal RNA (371 nucleotides) under uncultured eukaryote. Its description in RNAcentral is "partial 18S ribosomal RNA". It matches the Rfam family "Eukaryotic small subunit ribosomal RNA", at positions 592 to 976 of the family's 1831-position model. The record is from RNAcentral.